GAUGAACGCUGGCGGUGUGCCUAAUACAUGCAAGUCGAGCGAACAGAUAAGGAGCUUGCUCCUUUGACGUUAGCGGCGGACGGGUGAGUAACACGUGGAUAACCUACCUAUAAGACUGGGAUAACUUCGGGAAACCGGAGCUAAUACCGGAUAACAUAUUGAACCGCAUGGUUCAAUAGUGAAAGGCGGCUUUGCUGUCACUUAUAGAUGGAUCCGCGCCGUAUUAGCUAGUUGGUAAGGUAACGGCUUACCAAGGCAACGAUACGUAGCCGACCUGAGAGGGUGAUCGGCCACACUGGAACUGAGACACGGUCCAGACUCCUACGGGAGGCAGCAGUAGGGAAUCUUCCGCAAUGGGCGAAAGCCUGACGGAGCAACGCCGCGUGAGUGAUGAAGGUCUUCGGAUCGUAAAACUCUGUUAUCAGGGAAGAACAAAUGUGUAAGUAACUGUGCACAUCUUGACGGUACCUGAUCAGAAAGCCACGGCUAACUACGUG
RNAcentral lists this ribosomal RNA (497 nucleotides) under uncultured bacterium. RNAcentral's name for it is "partial 16S ribosomal RNA". It matches the Rfam family "Bacterial small subunit ribosomal RNA", at positions 28 to 507 of the family's 1533-position model. The record is from RNAcentral.